Molecule: ribosomal RNA, 1056 nt
Filed under: uncultured bacterium
Lineage: Bacteria
Description: bacterial SSU rRNA
Rfam family: Bacterial small subunit ribosomal RNA
Source: RNAcentral
AGAGUUUGAUCCUGGCUCAGGAUGAACGCUAGCGGCAGGCCUAACACAUGCAAGUCGAGGGGUAACAGGAAAGCUUGCUUUCGCUGACGACCGGCGCACGGGUGCGUAACGCGUAUGCAACCUACCUCAUACAGGAGGAUAGCCCUUGGAAACGAGGAUUAAUACUCCAUAGUAUCACGAAUUCGCAUGUUUUUGUGAUUAAAGUUUUUCGGUAUGAGAUGGGCAUGCGUCCCAUUAGCUAGUUGGUGAGGUAACGGCUCACCAAGGCGACGAUGGGUAGGGGGCCUGAGAGGGUGGUCCCCCACACUGGUACUGAGACACGGACCAGACUCCUACGGGAGGCAGCAGUGAGGAAUAUUGGUCAAUGGAGGCAACUCUGAACCAGCCAUGCCGCGUGAAGGAUGACGGCCCUAUGGGUUGUAAACUUCUUUUAUAUGGGAAGAAACUUAUCUACGUGUAGAUAACUGACGGUACCAUACGAAUAAGGAUCGGCUAACUCCGUGCCAGCAGCCGCGGUAAUACGGAGGAUCCAAGCGUUAUCCGGAUUCAUUGGGUUUAAAGGGUCCGUAGGCGGAUUUUUAAGUCAGUGGUGAAAGCCGACAGCUCAACUGUCGAACUGCCAUUGAUACUGGAGAUCUUGAGUACAAAUGAAGUAGGCGGAAUGAGUCAUGUAGCGGUGAAAUGCAUAGAUAUGACUCAGAACACCGAUUGCGAAGGCAGCUUACUAACAUGUAACUGACGCUGAGGGACGAAAGCGUGGGGAGCGAACAGGAUUAGAUACCCUGGUAGUCCACGCCGUAAACGAUCAUCACUCGCUGUUGGCGAUAUACUGUCAGCGGCCAAGCGAAAGUAUUAAGUGAUGCACCUGGGGAGUACGCCGGCAACGGUGAAACUCAAAGGAAUUGACGGGGGCCCGCACAAGCGGUGGAGCAUGUGGUUUAAUUCGAUGAUACGCGAGGAACCUUACCAGGGCUUAAAUGUAGUUUGACCGGUCUGGAAACAGACUUUCCCUUCGGGGCAGAUUACAAGGUGCUGCAUGGCUGUCGUCAGCUCGUG